AUUUCUGCAUCCUUAAGUACUUCAACCUGUUUCUGAGAAGACAGGAUUUUCCUCUUGAGGGUAUUACAUAAUAUUUAUGCAUGCUGAAGAGCUGAAGACUUUUUUUAUGAAUGGGAAUAUAUUCUCCAGAGUAACAAAUCAAUAUAAUGAUAGACUGCAUUCCUAUGUGGCUUUUUAAUUUCAGAUCUGAAUGAUGUGUAUACAUUUUAAUUUGCAUUAGGAGUGUUGCCUAGACAAACAUACUCCAUUGCUUCUACAUGGUAAAUUGCUUUUGUUGCUUGACGAGCACACCGCUCUUGGUCUCCACCAGUGACCUCUAGCAGCACAGUAAGGCGGUGAGCUUACUUACCGCUCUUGCCAUGCCGUGCUAAGAAUGAAGAGAAAGGACUCCACGGGGAGCUCGCUUUCUGUAGCUGUGGUCCUCAUGGACUGGGCCAGAACUAAACAGUAAAUUUAGUGGCCUAUGCUGUUAUUUUUAUCAUGUCCUUGUUGGGCUUGUUGAUGAGCUUUCACUAUCAGGACUGUUCUGGGAAUUCAGUCCUGCUGUCAUUGAAUUUGGAGACAGUUUUGCUACUGAACUCAGCAAGUGCAUGGGUAAUCUCACAUUAAGGCACAACUACUGGAACUCUCUUAAAUCUGAUGUGUCUUCACAUUGGCCUUUUGUGAUUUCCUUGCAUCUGGCUUUUUCCAGGAUUGCUGCACAACUAAUAUACCACACUCCAAUGGAAAAUGUAAAGAGACGUUUGUUGCUAAUAGACUUUCAUUUACCAUACGCUGUAUUGUAAGUGCCAGUAAACUACUUAGUUUUUCUAGGUAAUUAAAAAUCAAUUUUGAAAUUUUAUUUAUUUAUUUUUAGUGAGUGACAGCUGAUGGAGUUUUAUGUUCUAGUUUAAGAACAUGUUCUGCUGCUUUAGUCUAAUUUUAGAUGCUAAAAUGAUCAGUACAUCUGACCUACAAGGAAGAGAAUAUUUGUAUCAUUGGUUUAAUGGGCACCUUUAUUCCAAAAAAGAAAAGCCAUGGAAGAACAAACAGAAUAUUGAACCUGCAGCUUGGUGGUAUUGUACAAUUCUCAGAUUCACUGAUCAAUUAGUGUCUCUUCACCACAUACUGAGACUCUGUCCAUGUGGCUUUAUGUAGUGUUGUGCCUGAUCACACCCUUGCAAACAUCCAGUGAGGCAGGGAAACAGUGCUUUCCUUAUGUUUUAAGGAGGACACAGAAUGUCAGAUUAGUCCACAGGAACUGAGUAAACGAUCAGUGAAUUGAGUCCAGGUCUUCUAAGCCAGAAUCCUCUCUUACUAAAUAAUCCUUCUCUCAGGCUCACUCUCCAUCAUCAUCUGCUCUGUGUGUGUGUGCGUGCGUGCGUGUGUGUGGUGGGGCAUAUCUUUUCCCCUUAAUCUCAGACCUCCUACUGAUUUCAAGGUAAGGCUUUCUCACUACAGCAUUUCUGGUCAUGAGAAACAGUGCAAAGGGGUUGUGAAUGUGUAUGUCUAUGUUAGGAUAAUAUAAAGAAGUAUGCAAUCCCUGCACUUGGCCGAGAUCCUGAUGUCCGCAACAAAGCUCUACCAGAUAAAAAGUCAGGAUGUUUGUUCAGCAUCAUCAGGCCACAGAGAAGUGAAAGAAUCCAAAGUGCGAUCCAUAUGCUGCCCUGCUGCCAAACACAUUACCCAACUGGGCAAGAUAAUGUAAGCACAUAGGUUUAUUCCACUUAAAGCAUGUUAGCUUUGAACAGAGAUUCACUUAGUGAGGAAUGAUUUUAGAACAGCUGAAUAUUAUUGAUAGCAAGAUCUAGCUGACAGUAUGGCUCGUACAGUUUCAAGCUUGCGCUGAAGAACCAUGGAGUUCCUGGUUCCUUUCAGAUCCUGGUCAGAUUCCUGCCUUUGUCCACAGGAAAUGUGCAGAGGUGAACAAGAACAUUGGGUAAACAAGAUCAGGAAUGUAAUUACUAUUACUAUCUGUCGUUCAAGGGAAAUGAGGUUCCCCCUCUGGGCCUUUCUUUCUUUUUUUUUUGUUUUUAAUUUUUUUUCUCCCACUUACUUUGUUUCCUUCUGUCCUUGAUUGUAAGUUUCUCUUUGUCUGUUGUCUACAUUUAUUUCCCCGCAGUGAUUUUCCCUUUCCCCUGCUACAGUGAUCACUAGUGACACAAUUGAGUAUUGCACUGACCGGUUCACGCAUAUCCCUGCCAUCUUCUCAGUUUACCUCAUGGCUGGUCGCUGUUAUGAACCCUUCUGCUUCUGCUUCAGCCCUAGUGUCUGACCACUUUUGUCUGUCCCCUUGAGGCAGCGUCCAUGAGCAUUUGUUGUGCUUGUCCAGGAGAUCUGACCAGGCGUGGCACCAGCCAAGGGUUUGGCGAACAGAGAAUCACCAGGUAGCCUCCUUGAAAAUAAAUCACUGCUCACUCAUUAUAGGUGCAGUGAAGUUUUUGGAGAAGUGCGUUUUAAAACGGUCUAGGGCAGUACUACUGCCUCACAGCCUGCCUUUCUCUAACAAUAAUUUAGGCAGGCCAUAUCUUAUGUUGAUGCAGUGGGAGCUCGUGCCAGUCUGUGUUUGCUUGAAUCUCUUUCAAACCCCAGAAGAGAGAGUCAUCUUUCUAUACAGUGGAAGUUCCUUUGUUUUGUGCUUUCUUGCAUUUUUGCCCUGCUCCAGGAAACCAGUUUAACAGGAUGUUGAGCCAGUCUCCUUGGAGGUGAUGACUCUGCCUUGUCCAACGACAGCCUUCAAAGGCUUGCUGUAAGGAGGAAGACACCGAAAAUAGGCAUUAAAAUGAAGACUCCAUUUGUUACUCCAUUGGUUACUUUCCGAAUAGAGAAUAGAUCCCAUAAGAAGAUGAAGAUCAACUAGCAAAAUCGGUUGCAAAUAUUAUUGACGGUGGUAUUUACAAAGAAGUAACCAAUGUUUUAAGGAUAUGUCAGCAGUAAGCAUUUUUUUCCUGAGGAAAUGUAUGUCCUGUUUUCUAAUAGGUGUGCAUUCUUCCUGCUUACAGCAAGGGAGAAAGCUCUGAUACAACUAAAAUCCAUUUACUCUUCAACAGCACAUAUAAGCUGCGAACUAAACCCUGUCUAGGCAGCAAACUAUAACCUUGCGUUAUCUACUUUUCUUCUGGCUUUCUUGGAGCUGCUGUUAAUACUAUAUUAGUUUAUUGUUCAGAAUAUAGUUAAUGAGUGCCAAGAUAUGACAAGAAGAAUGAAUUUCACACUGGUUAAUUGGCUGAGGGGCCUAAUCAACCCUUCUCUGUGACAUCUGAAGAAGCACUCAGGCUUCCAGGAUAGACCUAGAGGUCAUUGCUCCUGGCAGCUAGGCUGAGAGGUUGAAGAGAUAUUUACCCUCUCCCUGCAGAAGAGCUAGAGUCCAAGGAAAACUGCUAUUUAUCAAAGUCUUCCCGCAGAAGGAGAGACCUGAUAAUUUGCCAGCAAUUGAGCACAGCAGAUUGCUAUGUCGCUUCUCUGGGAAAACGUCUGAAGCUCAGAAGAUUUGCUGUAGGCCUGGAUUUACUGUGCUGUCUUGCCAAGGAUGGAUGGAAAGGGGGAAGUUAUGGCUAGAUAAUACCUAAGAAGAGGAGAUGAUCCACAUGUCUACACGUUCUCCAGAAUACUUAAGGCAGUGUGCCACAACUCAUUAUUACCAAGAGGAGCUUCAAAGCCUCAUCUGGGAUUGGCACCCCCAUGUGUCAGGUCAGCUUGGAAAGGCUUGGAGUGAACUGCGCAGAGUGGACGCUGGGGAGAGAGGGGGCAAAGAGGUAACUUGGCUGGCCCCGGAUGGCAGCAAGUCGGGAGAAGAACUAAGUCACCGAACUACAUGUCCUGCCUCCUGGCUGAAAACACCUCCCUGCCCCUCUCUUUAACAUGAUUUUUCCUGAUCCCUCAGUCAGCACAGUGGAAAAUCAGUCCAACCUCAGAAGGAACGUGAUACGCAGCACUUAACAUGUUUCUUGCUUGGUAUGUUCUUGUAUAUGUUUUUUUAAUGACUUUCUUUUAGUUUCAAGGAGCAGCUUAGAAAAUGGACAGUAACUCUGUAUGAAAGGAAACCUUUGCUGCAGGAGCUGUACCCAUGUUUAUUACAGUCUCAGCUUAGAUGGAUACAGAUUUGUGACCUGGCCCACGGGGAGUGAUCAUUUGGGGAGGUGAUGGUAACAACCCUACACCGGAGGUGGAUGUGAUGCCUCAACAAGCCUCAACGUGGGAGCGCCUUCACAUGGCUCCUGGGCAGCCGGCAGCGUGCCCUCCGCUGGCCUGGUCCUGUUUCCUGGGGGUUUCUGUAGGGUGGGUUAACUCACCCUGGGAUGCACAUGCUGGCUCCCCCGAGGACUUGCUCCUGCAAAGAAGAGCAAAAGGGAGCAGGAGGAGAGCUGGCGUGGCGCCUCAUCCUACCUCCUGCCUUUACCCGUGCUCAGUGCCUGCCUCCAAAAAGGUUCCAGGCAGUUGCUGAGCUUUUCGUCUUCUGUUGUGUGCACAGCUGGAACAAAAUGUGUGGUUCGCAGAGCCUGACUUGUCAAGGAAGGAGAGUUUCAAAGGAACAAACUUUGAGAAAAGGAGCUUAAAAGAGAGUUUUGUUAUUACUAGGCGCUGGGGAAGGCCCUGCAGAGAUGCCUGUUAGUGGUAUGGACACCUCUGUCCUUGCACCUGUGGCAGCAGAGAUCCUCCAUGGGCUCUGAGGUGCUUUCUCCUCCCCACGCUGGAGCUGCUAACUCAUGUUGGUGCAGGCAGCCUGGGCCGGGAGAUACCUGCUCCAUCGUAGGCCGUGUUUCUUCCUGUGCCCAAAGCUCUGCACGUGAUAGAAAGACACAAGGGGAGGGAGGAGGGGUGAGUUUGGAGCCGGGCGCUCAAGCUAAGGAUUUCUGGCUAUUCUUAUGCUUGCAUUCUUCUACUUAGAAAUGAUUCAGUUAUUCUUCCUCUUAUGGUAUAAUAGGCCCCGUAAGAAAUUUCCUGUGUUAACAAAAAGUUGUUAUUGCAUAACAUCAUUCUUUCAAUAUAUUCUUCUCCUUGGGGAGAAAACUGAGGAGCAGAAAGGUUAAAUGUGAGAUUGUCAAAGGAGUUGCCAUGACUGAGGAGCAUAGACUUUCUCUUGUCUAAAGCUCCUUUGGAACUUGGCUCCAGAUGAUGCAGAAAGCUAAUUUUCUUUCUUUAUUAUUCUUCUUAUUAUUAUUUACGAAGCUGAAAGCGAGGUUUAGCUCAUGUAGGGAGCAGGGCGUACUUUUCCGUGUGCUAGACACUCCUACUUCAGUCCUCUGCUUUGCAAUGGGCCUCCUCCAUGGAAUUCUUUGGGAUUUAAUAGGCUGAAGCGUGCAGCCGUUGGUGGGACCGGCUAGGUUUGUACACUGGCGAUCUGGAGCACAAAAUCCUAAGAAGCCAUCAUCCUGGACAGGAUGAGCAGCCUCUUCUCAGAAUUCCCUGUCCUGACCACCAGAGACAGCCUCCCACUGAAAUAUUGUCAAAUAGUGACUACUGGUCUGCACAUCAUGGUGCCAGUGCCAUGUACUUUGUGAUUAGAGACAUGGCCUCCAACGGCUGUAAAUGGUAUGGGAAUUACAAAGUAACUACAGGGCUGAAUAAAAAAUGCUUUGUUAAAGGGGGAAAAAAAAGGAAGCAGUAAGAAGGAUAGCCAGGGUUGGCAAGAUUGGAGUGUGGGAAGGAUAGAAUGUAGAAUUCAAAGAACUUUUGGUUCAUUAGCAAGCAAACAUGCUGUGACAGCUCAUUGUAAAACAAAUGUUUUUCUCCAUAUGAAAAUGCAAAUGUUUGUUUAAAACAAAGGCUGAGCCUGAAAUUACUUUCUGUGGCUGGCUGCCUGGGUAUAUAUGGUGUCCUCAGUAAUCACUGCUUUACCUGUUCACACAGCAGAAGGGAAAUCUAAUGCUCUAUAAGUAAAUAAAAGUAUAAUCACUCUAUGCAUCUAGCGCAGUGGGGUCGUGGGCCUGACUGGGGCUUCUAGGGACUACCGCAGCAUGAAUAAUAGGGCUGGGAGUGAGAGGAGAAACACCUUGCUGUGAGCAAGCCUCUGUGUGUGUGUGGGGGGGUUGUUUGUUUGUUAAAGUAGGUCUUUUGUGGGAAUUAGGUGAAUUGGUUUAUAAGGUAUAAUUUUGAUUGCAUAUGUUUCUCCUGUUCAAAUGGUGCAUCUUUUCAUUGCUUUUGUCUGCAAAACAUUGACAUAUUGGAAGUACUCAGUUAUUCCCCAAGUGAUACAGAGCAGUAUUUUACGCAGGGUUUUGACUGAACUCGGUUGCAAAACAUACCUAGCCACUGAUUUAUAACCUGAAGCCAUGGAUCGGGCGUCCUAGGCUCUAGCUGUUGUGAGAAGAAAGACACAAAUCAGCUUCUGCAAAACUGUAGAAACUUGGUGGGUGAAUGCUGAAUGCAGGGUAGAUGUCAAAAUUUGUUUGGCAUGUUUAAACCGAAAAAUAAUACUGGCUAAUAAAGCUGAUU
Struthio camelus australis is the source of this 6414-nucleotide long non-coding RNA. RefSeq lists it as uncharacterized. The record is from RefSeq and is a predicted model, not a curated record. Lineage: Eukaryota; Metazoa; Chordata; Aves; Struthioniformes; Struthionidae.